Molecule: ribosomal RNA, 292 nt
Filed under: uncultured bacterium
Lineage: Bacteria
Description: partial 16S ribosomal RNA
Rfam family: Bacterial small subunit ribosomal RNA
Source: RNAcentral
GUGUCAGCAGCCGCGGUAAGACGAACCGUGCGAACGUUGUUCGGAAUCACUGGGCUUAAAGGGCGCGUAGGCGGGCCGGACGGUCCGGGGUGAAAUCCCCCCGCUCAACGGGGGAACGGCCCCGGAUACCGCCGGCCUCGAGGGGGGUAGGGGCGAGCGGAACGCUGGGUGGAGCGGUGAAAUGCGUUGAUAUCCAGCGGAACUCCGGUGGCGAAGGCGGCUCGCUGGGCCCUCUCUGACGCUGAGGCGCGAAAGCCAGGGGAGCGAACGGGAUUAGAAACCCGAGUAGUCC